UCCUCUUUCCAGUUCUAUCAGUAAAAGAGAGUGGUGUAUUGACGUUUCACACUGUUGUAGGAAUGUCUGUUGCUCUGUUCAGUUUUGUCAGUGUUUGUCUCAUGUACUUUGGAGCUUCUUGAUUGGGUGCAUAAACGUUUAUGAUUGUUAUUUCUUCUUGGUGAAUUGUCCUUAAUAUAUAGUGACAUUCUUUGUCUUAUGACAUCUUUGCAUUUAAAGUCUAUUUUGUCUGAUAUUAGUGUAGUUACUCCUGCUUUCUUUUGUUUGCAGCUUGCAUGGAAUAUUUUUUUUCCCUCUGAAGGAUCAUACUUUUUAAUCCAUUCUACCUGUCUAUCUCUUAAUUGGAAAGAAAGCAUUACUUUUUGCCUUUGAACCACAAGCUGCUUGAAUUGUCAUUUUGAAGUUACCAAAGAGAUCCACUCAGAUCAUGCAGCAAGAAACAUUUAUAAGGGUGAGAUCCUUUGUCUCCAAAUAUGAUGGAAAAGAGUAAACAUGAGGAAAACAGCAUUCCCAGCCUGUCUUGUUAUUAAGCUGUUAAUAUCAGGCCAGCAUGGAUGUACCAGAGCCUGGAUUCUUUACAGUCUCACUCAAGUCAGAAUAUAAAGUUCUUAAUGUUGAGAGAGUAGCUGCAGAUAAGAGACACUUUGAAGACUGCUGUUGAAAG
This is a long non-coding RNA of Choloepus didactylus (southern two-toed sloth), 664 nucleotides long. RefSeq lists it as uncharacterized. The transcript is spliced from 5 exons. The record is from RefSeq and is a predicted model, not a curated record. NCBI's taxonomy places the organism in Eukaryota, Metazoa, Chordata, Mammalia, Pilosa, Megalonychidae.